AUCAAAAGAUCCUACAUGGAAAAUGUUAAAUCAUUAAGACAGAGGCACAAAUAUUUAUGCAGUAGCUAUAAUGUGCCAAAUAGGGCUUUUUCCAUGCAUUUUGUUCAUUUGUUCAAAAACCAUGUUGUGGGACUUACCUGUGCUAGUGAAGAUAUAAAGAAGAGCAAGAGAGAUGUACUUGCAACAAACCACACAGUGUGGUAUGACUGUUCCAGUCUUACAAGCAAGAAAGCUGAGUCAUGGAGGAGCUCAACUGAGUUCAAUCCACACAGCUGGGAGUAAAGAUCUGGAACAGAAAUGCAGCUUCUUCUCAAUCUUGUCUCUUGUUUGCAAAAACAAAAACAAAGUCCAGAUACUUUCACAGUUUCUAAUUUUUUGAGAAUACUGGCAUACAUAAAGUAUUUCCAUCCAUAUGGAAUGACAUAGGUAGGUGUACAGCAUCUAAGAAAAUAUAAUUAACAUCUUAUUCAACAGCAAAGUUUGCUUGCAGUAUAUACAAAAUUAAGAGGAUAAUUGAAUGUAAGGUAGAAUCUGGUAACACAAAAUUAAGUAGCACUGGGAUGACUGGUAGAGUAUAUAUGAUUUUUUUCUUUAAGAAUAAGUCUCCCACCUGUGGUACACUAUGUGAAUAAUUCCAUGACUUAGCAUCAUGCAUAUGGCUACUUCUCCAUACUUCUCAAGGGACAAUGUCAUUUAUCACGGCUUCUCAAAUGUUAAGAUGCAUACGAAUCUCUUGGGGGUCUUAAUAAACUACAGGUUCUGAUUCAAAGGUCUGAGGUGGGGCCUAAGAUUCUGCAUUUCUAACAAGCUCCCAGGGCAUACAUAUGGUGCUGGUCUGUGGGCACACUUUGACUUUAAGGCAGUUACAGUCAUUUCUGGCACCGGUCAAAAGCUGUAUCUUGGGCCUCAUCCCUAUUAUUGGUUACUUUUGUAAGAGUGUUUGCUGAGCAGACAUUCCUAGUGGAGCAGCUUAUAGGAAUUAAGGAAGGUAUAAAGUCAUGGUAGAAGGGACAAAAGGGAAGAAAUAAACAUGGUAUAAUGAAUUCUGCACCUCUUUCCUAAAGAAACCACAAGCAAAUCAUUUACUCCUUGUUUAGAAGGGUCAACCUGAUUCAGGUCUUCAACCUGAAGACCCAGGCCCUCAUACAGCAAAGCCAUUGACCACCUUGAAAAAUUACUAUUUUGCUCUUUGGUGUAACCUCAGUUUUAUCUUGCUGAAACAAAACAAAAAGAAUCCAAUAGUGCAUUCCUUUGUAUUAUUUAUUCUGGCUGGAUACUAAUGUUAAUUUUCUUAAAUGCUUUGGCCACUAUAUUAAAAUUGUCCAUUUCAUCAAAUGGCUUAGUGUGAAUCUUUUGAAGAUGUACAAGAGAAUUUCUUCAUUAGAGCAUUGCUUCUGAAGUUUUAAUGAGCACACAAAUCACCUUAGAAUCUUAUUAAAAAUAUAAAUUUUGAUUCAGUGGAACUGGGGUGUGGACUGAAAAUUGGCAUUUCUUAAAAGCUCCUAGGUAAGUCUGAUAUAACAGAUCCUUGGGGGACUCUGAGUACAGAGGCCUUGGACCAUUUGAUCCUACUUUGCAUUAAGAAGGUAUUCUGUGUGUGAGUGUGUGUGUGUGUGUGUGUGUGUGUGUGUGUGUGAUAUUCAAGUAGUGAGGAAAUUAUAUAUUAACAAAUAGCUGAAAUGACGAAAACCAGGCAUCUGCCUCAACACAUAGGCUAGUGAUCAAAGAUUCCACAAUCACAUUUCCUUACCAUGAAGGACUUCUCAACACUAGAUGUAUAAAAAAGGAUUUUUGUCAGUAAGAUGAUGAUCCCUUUCAGUUUUUCUGAAAUCAGGCUGUAUUCUAGAUCACUCAGCAGAUUGUAAGAGCAGAAAGGGUCAGGGCCCACCCAAGACCAACUAAAUCCCAGCCUCUGGACAUGGAUCUAAUGAGCAAUCUCUAGACCACCAGCAUCAGCAGCACCUGCUGGUCUAGAGAUUAGAUGUCUAAACUUAUUAGACAUCUCAUGUCCCAUCCAGAUCUACUGAAUCUAAGUCUACAGUUUAUAAAGAUCCCCAAGCAUUCCAAUGCACAUUCAAAUUUCAAAAGACACUGUUAAGUAGGAGGCAAACCUAGAUAGUUGCCAUAGCAACUUAAUUGUAUUAAACACCUCUCUUCCACUCUAGUAGUUUGGGCCUUUGACUGGUAUUAGAACCAAAAGAAGACAGAUAUAUCAAGCCCAUGCAAAGCCUGGUAUGUUGACUGGCUCUAAUGUAUCUGGGAAGGUGUAAAAUAACAGGGAGAAGACACAGGAAAAAAAUCCAGUUCUAGGUCCCUAGUGCUUCAUACCAGCAGUUUCUUUGGUUCCUCUUUAUUAUGCCUCACCUUUUUUCCAGAAACUUUUACCACUUGCUUCCAGCUUUAAGUCUACUGAGUAGACAUUUACCUGAAGGAACUGAAUCAAGAAUUCCAGUCUGGACUUGCUGGACCAUAGUGACAGUAGUGCUUACUUUGCAGUGAUGCAUUCCUAUCACUGCUCUAAAACUCAAGGGAAGGGGCAAGCAAUCAAGCAUUUAUGGACGAUUCCUUUGUGCCUAGCAUUAUGCUAAAGGUAAUGGUGACACAUAUAAAGGGUUAGUUGCUAGAAACUUGUGGAAGGUGCAUGCAUUUACUUUACAAAUAAUACACAAAUACAUUAUCAAGUUCUGAAGUAGUGAAAAAGCAUAAAGUAAAGGCUUAACAGUGGGGCAUAGAUAGUCUGAGCAAAUAAUAAUAACAAUAAUAAUAAUAACAAUAAUAAUAAUAAUUAGAGAUGGAAGAUGUCAGUUUGAGGCUUCAUAGAGCCAAUGGAACUUGAGUUGAGCAGAUGUAAGAUAUGAGACAUUCCAUUGAGAGGCCACAGGUUGAACAAAGGCAAAAAAAA
Long non-coding RNA from Herpailurus yagouaroundi (jaguarundi), 2902 nucleotides. RefSeq lists it as uncharacterized. The transcript is spliced from 2 exons. NCBI's taxonomy places the organism in Eukaryota, Metazoa, Chordata, Mammalia, Carnivora, Felidae. The record is from RefSeq and is a predicted model, not a curated record.